Long non-coding RNA from Peromyscus californicus insignis, 2765 nucleotides. RefSeq lists it as uncharacterized. The record is from RefSeq and is a predicted model, not a curated record. NCBI's taxonomy places the organism in Eukaryota, Metazoa, Chordata, Mammalia, Rodentia, Cricetidae. The transcript has 4 exons.
AUUGUCCCUCAAAAAAUUAGCAUGGUACGGUGGAGAAAGCAGAGCGCCUGGCGAAUGACAGCUGCUGGCCCCGGACGAGGGCCAGAGAGAGGAGUUUUGCAAGGUGCCACAUCCGAAAGGCACCUGUCAACCCAGGCCUGGAGUGGCCCAAGGGGUGGCAGGUAAGACAGGCUCUCUCACUGAACCUGGAGCUCACCAAUUCAUCAAGACCAGCUGGCCAGCGAGUCCCAGGGACCCUCCUGUUGCCACUUUCCUGGUGCUGGGAUCACAGGUGAACGCCACCACACCUGACUGUAUUACGUGGGUGCUAAGAUUCAACUUUGAUCCCCUAUCUGCAAGCCAGCACCCUACCGACUGAGCGAUCUCCCCGGUCCUCAAACCAUGAUGUUUGGGGAUAAUUUGUUAUGUACCACAGAUGACUGGAACCUUCUCCAACAGAAUCCCUUGCAUAUGGGUGCCAACACACACACGCGCACACAAGAAUGUUUACUGAACCGUUGUCGACAAAGCAAAAAACUAGAAACAACAAUGUUCUCCAUCAAUGAGAAACUGGCGUGAAUGACAGCCAUGGAGUCUUGCUACGGCACAGAUAUCAGCAGCAAGGGAGAGGUGCCUGUGUCAACAGGGUGCUGGCCAAACAGUGUGGACCCAAAAGCAAGUGACCAGGAGACAUAUGGGCAUCAGUGGACUAUGGCUUCAUCGCACGGUGACCAACAAACACAAAUUGUGUCUUCUUCCAAACACUGCAGGACCUUCCUGGAAGUACAGCUUGGGGACAACUUUCCUGAACAUUUCAUGCAUGCUCGAAGGAAAAGUGCAUUCUCCAAGGUGGGGAUAAAAGGACCUCCAGCUGAGGUGGUAACACCCCAACUCCUCACUGACACUCCGUGUGGUGACUUCCUCCCCAGGAGUGUUAUGGGAGACAGGCACUGGAUCACGCUCUACAGCCGCUCACCCUCUGUACUGGGCACUGUGACUCUUCCCUCUGGAAUUUUCUUCCAGGGCUCACUCGCUCCUCAUAAAUACCCACUCGCCCUCCCAGAUGCAGCUCUUAACCACAGUGUCCCCACAGACACCUGGCCUCCAGCCAGGAAGUGCCAUCUUCAGCCCCCUGCUGUUCCACACCCUCUCUGCUUCUGAGCCUCACCCAGUUCACCCCACCACCCUUUCCCGCCCAUCUCCUCCUGCAUUGUCCCAAGACUCGGCUCACCUCUGCUCUCUUUAUUUUGAAUUAUUUAUCUGUUUAUUAUUUAUUAGAUAUUGUAUUUGUUUAAUUACCCCACAAGGUUACUUAAGGCCAUUUUCAUGCAUGUAUGUGUUACUUUGACAUAUCUCCUCCCCACACCCUACUACCCUCCCCUCUCAUCCCCGACUCGUCCCCUCUCCUCCCCUAGACGGUUUCGGUCUUUCCUGUAUGUCAACGACACAGUUCUGAGUUUGUGUAUCUGUAAAGUCCAGGACCCACAAAUGAGAGAAAACAUAUGAAGCUCAUCUUUCUGAAACUGAGACUUCAUUCACUUGACAUGCUCCCUCUGCACUUGAGUCCUUUUUACAGCAAACAACGCAACUGUGCUCUUUCCUUUCCUUUUCUUUCCUUUCCUUUUCUUUUCUUUUGUUAGUUUGUCAAGACAGGGUCUCUCUGUAGUUCUGUAGUUCCGGUUGUCCUGGAGCUCCCUAUGUAGAACAGGCUAGUCUUGAACUCACAGAACCCCCUGCUUCUGCCUCUGCCUCUGCUAGAUAACUGUAGUCUUUAUGUCUGAAAAACAUCCACUGUCUUAGUGGUUUUUUUGUUUUUGUUUUUGUUUUUCUGUGAUAAGACACUAUGACCAAGGCAACUUACAGAAGAAGGCAUUUCAUGGGGGCUUACAGUCUCAGAGGGUGAGCCCAUGACCAUUGGGGCAGGGAGCAUGGCAACAGGCAGUAGGUAUGUGUUGGAGCAGUAGCUGAGAACUUACAUGUGAUCCACAAGGAUGAAGCAGAGAGAGAACUAACUAAGAGUGAUGUGGACUUUUGAAAGCUUAAAGUGACACACCUCCUCCAACAAGGCCACACCUACUAAUCCUUCCCAAACAGGUCCACUGGGGACCAAGCACCCAUACGAGCCCGUGGGGUCAUUCUUACUCAGGUCCCCACUUUCGUUGUCUGUAUAAACCAAAUUUUCUUAUGUGAUGGACAUAAGAAAUGUCCAUCUUUCUCUGUUGAUGGACAAGUAGGUUGGCCCCAUAACUCAGCUAUUGUGAAUACUGUAACAAACAUCCAUGUGCAAGUGUCUUUUUCCUUUUCCUUCUUAUUCUUAUUUUUUGAGACAGGGUCCCAUUAUGUAGACCAGGCUACAGGGCUGGCCUCGAACUCUAGCUCACAGAAAUCCACCUGCUACUGCCUCCCAAGCACUAGCAUUGCAGGCCUGAGCCACCACACCUGCCUUCAACCUCUUCUCCCAAAAACACAUCCCCACCAGGGCUGGAGAGGUGACUGACUCAGUGAGAGCAUUUGUUUCAAAAGCGUGAAGACCUGAGUUCAGAUCCAAGCACCACACAAAAACUGGGCCUGGCAGCACCUAAUGAUGUCAGAGACAAGAGCAGUGGGAUCAUUUGGGCUGACUGGCUGGCAGCCUAGGUCUAGUUCAGCGAUAGGAACUGUCUGAAGGAAUAAGGCUGAGCAUGACAGAGGACACUCUGCACCCUCCCUGGCCUCCACACUGGUGUGUAUUGGCACACCCCCAAACAUACGCACAUAAACCAUACGUGCAUACACAUACACACUCA